This 135-nucleotide small nucleolar RNA is filed under the name Microcebus murinus (gray mouse lemur). RNAcentral describes it as "Small nucleolar RNA SNORA46". It matches the Rfam family "Small nucleolar RNA SNORA46". Rfam says of the family: ACA46 is a member of the H/ACA class of snoRNA that guide the sites of modification of uridines to pseudouridines. The record is from Rfam by way of RNAcentral. Lineage: Eukaryota; Metazoa; Chordata; Mammalia; Primates; Cheirogaleidae.
AGCACUAUAUUUAAACCUGUGGAUGGGAAUUUUCCCCAUUCUUGGUACGCUGUAGUGCAAAAGAAUUCCUGGCUCUAUCUCUUGCAAAGCUUACUUAUACUAUACUGCUGUGGCUAUAUGGAGUAAAGGACAUGA